Molecule: ribosomal RNA, 300 nt
Filed under: Microsporidium sp. BCYA1
Lineage: Eukaryota; Fungi; Microsporidia
Description: partial small subunit ribosomal RNA
Rfam family: Microsporidia small subunit ribosomal RNA
Source: RNAcentral
CACCAGGUUGAUUCUGCCUGACGUAGAUGCUAGUUUCUAAGAUUAAGCCAUGCAUGUUUUGUGAACUCAUACGAGGGAACGACGAACGGCUCAGUAAUGUUGCGCUAAUUUGCUCUAGACGAGAAAGAUAACCACGGUAACCUGUGGCUAAGAGUUUAGAAUAAGGUGCAAUCCUAUCAGUUUGUUGGGAGUGUAAAGGACUCCCAAGACGUUAACGGGUAACGGGAAAUCAGGGUUUGAUUCCGGAGAGGGAGCCUGAGAGAUGGCUCCCAUGUCCAAGGACGGCAGCAGGCGCGAAAA